CGUAAAUAUUCUUAUGUUGUUUUUCUUCUUUUUAUUCUCUCUAUUAUUUGUGUGAGUGCUUCCACUAUAGGUCUCAACAAAUGGUAUCAGAGCGAGGUUCUGACAUAAGGGAGGAGAGAAAAAGGAGUAGGAGGUACUACAUCAGCAGUCUAGGAGGAAGACGAGUCAACACCACGUUAGCGGAUCUCGAUGUCGCAUCAGUAUUUUUUUGGGAAGAGGUUGGUUCUGACU
RNAcentral lists this long non-coding RNA (231 nucleotides) under Elaeis guineensis (African oil palm). RNAcentral's name for it is "long non-coding RNA (EGUI_LNC037193)". The record is from RNAcentral. Lineage: Eukaryota; Viridiplantae; Streptophyta; Magnoliopsida; Arecales; Arecaceae.